GACGAACGCUGGCGGCGUGCUUAACACAUGCAAGUCGAACGGAAAGGCCCCUUUGGGGGUACUCGAGUGGCGAACGGGUGAGUAACACGUGAGUAACCUGCCCUUUACUUCGGGAUAACUUCAGGAAACUGGGGCUAAUACCGGAUAGGAAUCCUUGCUGCAUGGUGGGGGUUGGAAAGCUUCGGCGGUUUUGGAUGGACUCGCGGCCUAUCAGCUUGUUGGUGGGGUAGUGGCUUACCAAGGCUUUGACGGGUAGCCGGCCUGAGAGGGCGACCGGCCACAUAGAGACUGAGAUACGGCCCAGACUCCUACGGGAGGAAGCAGUGGGGAAUAUUGCACAAUGGGCGGAAGCCUGAUGCAGCAACGCCGCGUGCGGGAUGACGGCCUUCGGGUUGUAAACCGCUAUCAGCAGGGGCGAAGCUUGUGGUGACGGUACCUGCAGAAGAAGCACCGGCUAACUACGUG
Molecule: ribosomal RNA, 465 nt
Filed under: uncultured bacterium
Lineage: Bacteria
Description: partial 16S ribosomal RNA
Rfam family: Bacterial small subunit ribosomal RNA
Source: RNAcentral